AGCGAACGCUGGCGGCAGGCCUAACACAUGCAAGUCGAGCGCCCAGCAAUGGGAGCGGCAGACGGGAGAGUAACACGUGGGAACGUGCCUUUUGGUUCGGAAUAACUCAGGGAAACUUGAGCUAAUACCGGAUAAGCCCUUACGGGGAAAGAUUUAUUGCCAAAAGAGCGGCCCGCGUCCGAUUAGCUAGUUGGUGAGGUAAUGGCUCACCAAGGCGACGAUCGGUAGCUGGUCGAGAGGAUGACCAGCCUCAUUGGGACUGAGACACGGCCCAAACUCCUACGGGAGGCAGCAGUGGGGAAUAUUGGACAAUGGGCGCAAGCCUGAUCCAGCCAUGCCGCGUGAGUGAUGAAGGCCUUAGGGUUGUAAAGCUCUUUUAGCAGGGAAGAUAAUAGACGGUACCUGCAGAAAAGCCCCGGCUAACUUCGUGCCAGCAGCCGCAGUAAG
This 447-nucleotide ribosomal RNA is filed under the name uncultured bacterium. RNAcentral describes it as "bacterial SSU rRNA". It matches the Rfam family "Bacterial small subunit ribosomal RNA", at positions 29 to 524 of the family's 1533-position model. The record is from RNAcentral.